GAUGAACGCUGGCGGCGUGCCUAAUACAUGCAAGUCGAGCGAACGGACGAGAAGCUUGCUUUUCUGAUGUUAGCGGCGGACGGGUGAGUAAAACGUGGAUAACCUACCUAUAAGACUGGGAUAACUUCGGGAAACCGGAGCUAAUACCGGAUAAUAUUUUAAACCGCAUGGUUCAAAAGUGAAAGACGGUCUUGCUGUCACUUAUAGAUGGAUCCGCGCUGCAUUAGCUAGUUGGUAAGGUAACGGCUUACCAAGGCAACGAUGCAUAGCCGACCUGAGAGGGUGAUCGGCCACACUGGAACUGAGACACGGUCCAGACUCCUACGGGAGGCAGCAGUAGGGAAUCUUCCGCAAUGGGCGAAAGCCUGACGGAGCAACGCCGCGUGAGUGAUGAAGGUCUUCGGAUCGUAAAACUCUGUUAUUAGGGAAGAACAUAUGUGUAAGUAACUGUGCACAUCUUGACGGUACCUAAUCAGAAAGCCGCGGCUAACUACGUG
This 497-nucleotide ribosomal RNA is filed under the name uncultured bacterium. RNAcentral describes it as "partial 16S ribosomal RNA". It matches the Rfam family "Bacterial small subunit ribosomal RNA", at positions 28 to 507 of the family's 1533-position model. The record is from RNAcentral.